RNAcentral lists this transfer RNA (73 nucleotides) under Chloroflexota bacterium. Its description in RNAcentral is "tRNA-Asp". It matches the Rfam family "tRNA". Rfam says of the family: Transfer RNA (tRNA) molecules are approximately 80 nucleotides in length. RNAcentral also lists the same sequence under 2 other names. Lineage: Bacteria; Bacillati; Chloroflexota. The record is from RNAcentral.
GGGGACGUGGUGUAGCGGUUAACAUACUGCCCUGUCAAGGCAGAGAUCGCGGGUUCGAACCCCGUCGUCCCCG